CCAGACUCCUACGGGAGGCAGCAGUGAGGAAUAUUGGACAAUGGGAGGAAUCCUGAACCAGCCAUGCCGCGUGCAGGACGACGGCUCUACGAGUUGUAAACUGCUUUUGUACCGGGGUAAAAUGCCUUACGAGUAGGGUUUUGAAAGUACGGUACGAAUAAGGAUCGGCUAACUCCGUGCCAGCAGCCGCGGUAAUACGGAGGAUCCGAGCGUUAUCCGGAUUCAUCGGGUUUAAAGGGUGCGUAGGCGGGCAUUUAAGCCGGCGGUCAAAUGUCGGGGCUCAACCCCGGCCUGCCGUCGGAACUGGGUGCCUUGAGUGGGCGAGAAGUAUGCGGAAUGCGUGGUGUAGCGGUGAAAUGCAUAGAUAUCACGCAGAACUCCGAUUGCGAAGGCAGCAUACCGGCGCGCAACUGACGCUCAUGCACGAAAGCGUGGGUAUCGAACAGGAUUAGAUACCCGUGUA
RNAcentral lists this ribosomal RNA (463 nucleotides) under uncultured bacterium. RNAcentral's name for it is "bacterial SSU rRNA". It matches the Rfam family "Bacterial small subunit ribosomal RNA", at positions 331 to 792 of the family's 1533-position model. The record is from RNAcentral.